RNAcentral lists this long non-coding RNA (592 nucleotides) under Populus trichocarpa (black cottonwood). Its description in RNAcentral is "long non-coding RNA (PTRI_LNC001724)". The record is from RNAcentral. Lineage: Eukaryota; Viridiplantae; Streptophyta; Magnoliopsida; Malpighiales; Salicaceae.
UCCAGGUCGGAAAAAUCUACGUAAUAAAUAUAUUUUCAAUGAGGCAAAUGAUUAGCCUGAGUGGAUAGUUCUCUCUAGACUUGAACAUAACAUAUAUUCUCCUUCAAAAUGAUUACUAAAUCGGAAAUCACGUGGAAGGAUACCUGAUAUACAUUGAUUUGAGAACAUAGCAUAUCAGGCUUCCUCGCCAUAUUUCCUCUCAAUGAUCACGUCUUUUAAAACUGCUUGGUUGCUAUUAUUUGUAGUGUUGACUUUGCAGUUGAUAUGUGUUGGUGGGAGAAACCACUAGUGGUGGCUCUGAUACCAAUUGUUGGGGAUUCUGCUCUCCCUGCGAAACGGUAGUGUUCAUGAUCAUUGCUCAAAGGAGGCUAAGCACACUAGCACACAAUAUUUAACGUGGUUCGGCAAAUUACCUACAUCCACGGGAGAGAUUAAUAUUAUUAGAGAUAGAGAAAAAAUACAACACACGGAGGAGGAUCACAUCCACUCAACUCCCAUCUCUCAUUGCUACAUAGGGCAGCAGCUGCAUACAGCAGCAGGGUUGCUGGUGGCAGCCCUUCUCUUUCUUUCUCUCUUCUUCUCUCUUUUGUUC